This 386-nucleotide ribosomal RNA is filed under the name uncultured bacterium. Its description in RNAcentral is "bacterial SSU rRNA". It matches the Rfam family "Bacterial small subunit ribosomal RNA", at positions 454 to 842 of the family's 1533-position model. The record is from RNAcentral.
GGAACGUGUUCCUUUUUGUAUGUACCAUAUGAAUAAGCAUCGGCUAACUCCGUGCCAGCAGCCGCGGUAAUACGGAGGAUGCGAGCGUUAUCCGGAUUUAUUGGGUUUAAAGGGUGCGUAGGUGGUUAAUUAAGUCAGCGGUGAAAGUUUGUGGCUCAACCAUAAAAUUGCCGUUGAAACUGGUUGACUUGAGUAUAUUUGAGGUAGGCGGAAUGCGUGGUGUAGCGGUGAAAUGCAUAGAUAUCACGCAGAACUCCGAUUGCGAAGGCAGCUUACUAAACUAUAACUGACACUGAAGCACGAAAGCGUGGGGAUCAAACAGGAUUAGAUACCCUGGUAGUCCACGCAGUAAACGAUGAUUACUAGCUGUUUGCGAUACACAGUAA